AUGUCAUCGGAUCCAUCGUCUGUGGAGCCCUCCGUGGCCAUGGAGGCCACCAAGCCAUCGGCCUCACCGUCGAAGGAAUCGGAGCCGGUCGGCGUUAGGGCUGCAGCCGCCGUCGCCGCCACGCAAGUUGCCGCCCACGAGAAGAACGCGCUGUGGGUCGGCAACCUGCCUGCGCACGCGGGUGAGGACGACGUCGUGGCGUCCUUCGCCCCGCACAAGACACUCGACUGCGUCAUCAUGCGCAUCGAGUACCGCAGCAAUGCCUUCAUCAUUUUCCGCUCCAUCGCCGAGUGUCGGACCGCCCUCAAGGCGCUCCGCGGGUCCAAUAUCAAGAGUGCGUUCAUCCUGAUUGAGUUCGCCCAACCGUGGAGGCACAAUGGAUCAGUGGCGACAGGGUGGUCUGGUGGAGAAUCGCAGGUGGCUGGAGGCAGCAGCGCUCAGAGUCUAGGGAAGCGCGGCACGUGA
Molecule: ribosomal RNA, 465 nt
Filed under: Triticum aestivum (bread wheat)
Lineage: Eukaryota; Viridiplantae; Streptophyta; Magnoliopsida; Poales; Poaceae
Description: partial small subunit ribosomal RNA
Source: RNAcentral